UAAUUUAAAUGUUUUACAUUGUUGAUAGCUUGUAAAAGCUCAAUCUGAUAGUUUCGAAUAGCAACCCAAUGUGAUUGAAGUAUACAACAUGAAGCGUAUGAGUAAUAUGACCAGAUCAUCACCUUCAGCAAUAAGAAGGCCAUGAAAGACUCGAUCAAAGGCAUGAACGGCCAGGACGUUGACGACUGCAACAUCAUCGUCAACCAGGCGGGAAUUAUAGAGGAAGAUCUGAUGUACUUGCUGGUGGAUCUCAACUACACCAAAGAUCACGAUCGCCCUUGAACAAAAC
Molecule: long non-coding RNA, 289 nt
Organism: Rosa chinensis
Lineage: Eukaryota; Viridiplantae; Streptophyta; Magnoliopsida; Rosales; Rosaceae
Exons: 3
Source: RefSeq, a predicted model, not a curated record